This 70-nucleotide transfer RNA is filed under the name Marmota monax (woodchuck). RNAcentral describes it as "tRNA.Ala". It matches the Rfam family "tRNA". From Rfam's summary of the family: Transfer RNA (tRNA) molecules are approximately 80 nucleotides in length. Their secondary structure includes four short double-helical elements and three loops (D, anti-codon, and T loops). Lineage: Eukaryota; Metazoa; Chordata; Mammalia; Rodentia; Sciuridae. The record is from RNAcentral.
GGGCUGUGGCUCAGUGGCAGAGCGCUUGCCUAGCAUGCACGAGGCACGGGGUUUGAUCCUCUCAGCACCA